Molecule: non-coding RNA, 100 nt
Filed under: Streptomyces sp. Amel2xC10
Lineage: Bacteria; Bacillati; Actinomycetota; Actinomycetes; Kitasatosporales; Streptomycetaceae
Also listed under: 2 other names
Description: Bacterial large subunit ribosomal RNA
Rfam family: Bacterial large subunit ribosomal RNA
Source: Rfam by way of RNAcentral
GGGGUAAGGCUCCCAGUAGACGACUGGGUUGAUAGGCCGGAUCUGGAAGCACGGUAACGUGUGGAGGUGACCGGUACUAAUAGGCCGAGGGCUUGUCCUC